AGGUUGGUGCAAACGUAAUUGCGGUUUUUGCCAUUACUUUCAACGGCAAACAUUGCAAUUACAUUUGCACUAACCUAAUA
Molecule: microRNA precursor, 80 nt
Organism: Colobus angolensis palliatus
Lineage: Eukaryota; Metazoa; Chordata; Mammalia; Primates; Cercopithecidae
Source: Ensembl